RNAcentral lists this long non-coding RNA (665 nucleotides) under Nicotiana benthamiana. RNAcentral's name for it is "long non-coding RNA (NBEN_LNC039984)". Lineage: Eukaryota; Viridiplantae; Streptophyta; Magnoliopsida; Solanales; Solanaceae. The record is from RNAcentral.
UUAUAAGCAAAAUUUAUCAUCGAAGGCUUAUUUCGGUCGUCUGACUGAUUAAUUGACAAUUAAACCUUUGAGAGGUAAAGAAUGUAGGCCGAGAAAAUUAUCAAGGGCAAACUUAUAGGUUUAUAUAUGCGCACGUGAAUCUAUGAUCUUUUCGCUAAACUAAAUAUUUUAUAUGCAUAUUUGUUUUUAUAAUUGAUCUAAUAUUAUCUGCCGGCCCCAUGCUUCAAAGAGCCUAAAUGAUACACUUAGUUGAAUGUUGUAUUUGUUUGCCCAAAAAUAUAGAACUUGGUUUUAUUAAUUAAUUUUGUAUAAAUGAGGAUUAUUUUAUCUAACAAUAAUAUCCCUAAAAUAGAGUUCUCAAAAGUGCAAUCAAUACUACGUAGGUUUAUUUAGGUAGCAGCAGCGACAUAUAAGUCAAGAAAUCAAAGGUAAUAAUAUAGCAUUAAAUAUUGAUGCAUAAUAAUAAAUGACAUUUAAGUAAAUAGAAUGAAGGAAUCACCCAAGAAAGAAUAGAACCACUGAAUGUUCUUUCUGAUAAUUAUGAGCGAUGGACAAUCCUUUGAAUAUUUGAGUUAUUCUCGAAUCUAGCGAAAAAGUACAGACAAGAAUCUUAGUAAAAAAAGUGAUAUUUGUAUGCUUGCAAUAAAUCUGAUUCUCUCUCUAAA